UCCGGAGAGGGAGCCUGAGAAAC
Molecule: non-coding RNA, 23 nt
Filed under: Arabidopsis thaliana (thale cress)
Lineage: Eukaryota; Viridiplantae; Streptophyta; Magnoliopsida; Brassicales; Brassicaceae
Also listed under: 3 other names
Source: RNAcentral